ACACACACGUCAGAAAAGACGAGGCUAUAACUGUUCAGCUUUGGGAUGCAGAUACAAGUCAGACCACAACAACGACGGCACGUUUUGACAGGGACUCGGCGGUCAGGACGAACCAGUACUCCUUGGAUCCUCCUUUCAUGAAGCUGAUGUUGAUGGUGAGCCAGCCUUUGCGGAUCACCUGCGCAGAGGGACGGGAAGGAAAACGUCACGGGAUGGCGGAGACAUCCGACUUUACCGAAAAACACACGCACGUCUCAGGCUGAGAGCAGCCGUAUGUGAAAAACACUCAGAGUGAACACCUGCUCACACUUACCUGUACAGGAACACGGGUGUGAACAGAGAGAGGAUGCUGAUGAUUUACAAGCUUGUUCUUUAAAAUGACUGUUUAUUAUUUUUAUUAAAAUUAUUCAAGAAA
Molecule: long non-coding RNA, 415 nt
Organism: Neoarius graeffei (lesser salmon catfish)
Lineage: Eukaryota; Metazoa; Chordata; Actinopteri; Siluriformes; Ariidae
Exons: 2
Source: RefSeq, a predicted model, not a curated record